GGCGUGGUUCAAUGGUAGAACAACGGUCUCCAACACCGUUGACGCGGGUUCGAUUCCUGCCGCCC
RNAcentral lists this transfer RNA (65 nucleotides) under fish gut metagenome. It matches the Rfam family "tRNA". Rfam says of the family: Transfer RNA (tRNA) molecules are approximately 80 nucleotides in length. Their secondary structure includes four short double-helical elements and three loops (D, anti-codon, and T loops). The record is from RNAcentral.